Phyllopteryx taeniolatus (common seadragon) is the source of this 604-nucleotide long non-coding RNA. RefSeq lists it as uncharacterized. The transcript is spliced from 3 exons. Lineage: Eukaryota; Metazoa; Chordata; Actinopteri; Syngnathiformes; Syngnathidae. The record is from RefSeq and is a predicted model, not a curated record.
CAAGCCAUCAUCUGUAUAGAGAGCGUCCAUGGCAUCAGAGGGAUGAGAUGAUCGUAUUUAUCGACACACAUUCAACGAACUACGGGCACAUCAGAGGUGAGCCGCUGCAGCGUAUCUGUAAACACUGCUCUCAGCACGCCGCUUUUAUGAGGACAGGACCACAUCCAAGAUGGCGGGCGAGUCACCGGUCUGCAUGAGUUUACAUUGGUCUGCAGACGGCGAGAAGUCAUCACGUCGCUUUCCCGAGCCCCUGCUGCGUCAAAAGUCACCCGCCAGCAUAAAAAGGUACAUAAGGAAGAGGGGGUGAAAGCGAGGAUUGAUGGAGAGAGGCAUCGAGGAACAUCUCCCGUCAUAAAGCACGGCCGACGAAAGAACGCCCCGAGUGUCAGAUUCAACUUUGAAUGUAUAGCCAUGACUCACACACUUUUAUUCACUUCCAUCAUGGGAGUGUCGAUUGCAAUCAUGGAGCUAUCUGAGAGGCGUGAUUGACGGGGUGGAGUCACAGGCCUUGUGGUGGGAGGUGGAAUGAGCGGUACGAAGGAGCCGGUCACUCAAAUCAGCUGCCAUCCCAUAAGAAGUGUGAUCUUCUCCGACAGAGAGUCAA